RNAcentral lists this small RNA (28 nucleotides) under Bombyx mori (domestic silkworm). RNAcentral's name for it is "ovarian small RNA-16675". Lineage: Eukaryota; Metazoa; Arthropoda; Insecta; Lepidoptera; Bombycidae. The record is from RNAcentral.
GCCCUUUCCAUACUUUUCCGUCUAUAUA